Molecule: ribosomal RNA, 487 nt
Filed under: uncultured bacterium
Lineage: Bacteria
Description: bacterial SSU rRNA
Rfam family: Bacterial small subunit ribosomal RNA
Source: RNAcentral
UGGCUCAGGACGAACGCUGGCGGCGUGCUUAACACAUGCAAGUCGAACGGAAAGGCCCUGCUUUGUGGGGUGCUCGAGUGGCGAACGGGUGAGUAACACGUGAGUAACCUGCCCUUGACUUUGGGAUAACUUCAGGAAACUGGGGCUAAUACCGGAUAGGAGCUCCUGCUGCAUGGUGGGGGUUGGAAAGUUUCGGCGGUUGGGGAUGGACUCGCGGCUUAUCAGCUUGUUGGUGGGGUAGUGGCUUACCAAGGCUUUGACGGGUAGCCGGCCUGAGAGGGUGACCGGCCACAUUGGGACUGAGAUACGGCCCAGACUCCUACGGGAGGCAGCAGUGGGGAAUAUUGCACAAUGGGCGGAAGCCUGAUGCAGCCAACGCCGCGUGCGGGAUGACGGCCUUCGGGUUGUAAACCGCUUUCGCCUGUGACGAAGCGUGAGUGACGGUAAUGGGUAAAGAAGCACCGGCUAACUACGUGCCAGCAGCAGC